This 85-nucleotide transfer RNA is filed under the name Felis catus (domestic cat). It matches the Rfam family "tRNA". Rfam says of the family: Transfer RNA (tRNA) molecules are approximately 80 nucleotides in length. Their secondary structure includes four short double-helical elements and three loops (D, anti-codon, and T loops). Further hydrogen bonds mediate the characteristic L-shaped molecular structure. tRNAs have two regions of fundamental functional importance: the anti-codon, which is responsible for specific mRNA codon recognition, and the 3' end, to which the tRNAs corresponding amino acid is attached (by aminoacyl-tRNA synthetases). tRNAs cope with the degeneracy of the genetic code in two manners: having more than one tRNA (with a specific anti-codon) for a particular amino acid; and 'wobble' base-pairing, i.e. permitting non-standard base-pairing at the 3rd anti-codon position. The record is from Rfam by way of RNAcentral. Lineage: Eukaryota; Metazoa; Chordata; Mammalia; Carnivora; Felidae. RNAcentral also lists the same sequence under 4 other names.
GCCUGGGUGGCUCAGUUGGUUAAGCAUCCGACUUCAGCUCAGGUCAUGGUCUCACUGUCCGUGGGUUCGAGUCUCUCUUCAGGCU